RNAcentral lists this long non-coding RNA (245 nucleotides) under Vitis vinifera (wine grape). Its description in RNAcentral is "long non-coding RNA (VVIN_LNC006628)". Lineage: Eukaryota; Viridiplantae; Streptophyta; Magnoliopsida; Vitales; Vitaceae. The record is from RNAcentral.
UCACACAGGUAGUACCCAACAUGUGCUAAGAUAGUACCUAAAGUUGACUAAGGCAACACCUAAGGUCGACUAAGGUUGUACCAAAGGUAGAUUCAGCUAGAACAUAAGGUUCACUCGGCAGUAGAACAAGGUUAACCAAAUGAUCACCAAAAUAAAACACGAUGUGCUAAGGUAGUACAUAAUAGCUUGGUCAGUUCUAUGUGCAAUUGAGUAUGUUUUAUGGACGUACCCCAUGUAAUGCCACU